UUAAAUAUCCAGUGUUUCAUUUCAUCAAUUAACAAAUCAACUACUUGCUAUUAUUUACCUUUUUCUAAGGCAAUAUCGUGUAGAUUAACAUAUUAGAUUAAUGCAUCACUUUCUGUCUUCGACUGCGAUUCUCCAGUUUGAAAACGACUGUUGCCCCACAAAACGAAAAACAGCAUUAAAAAAUACACCCUCAACUUUUGCAUUAAAUACAUCCAAAUUUCCCUUGAAAAGCACGGUUCAUCUUCCAUUGGAUCAUGAACAGAAAGUCCUUGGAGUUCAUUUCGGGUUUGGAACUCAUUUCCUCAUCUGGGUUUGAAAUGGUCAAAACGUUUCGGUUUCUUUUUCCUUUUCUCUUGUCAAUGAAUGCAUAGAAACAUUCCUUUGUCUUCAGAUUUGCAGAGCAGAGAGAUGAAUGUUCAAAAGUCUUGCUUGAAAGAGGAAGAAGGAAGGGGUGAUAGAGUCGGAGAAAAAGACCUACCGAAAUUAAACAGGUUGCAACUAAAACAAGUCUCUGAUUCUUUUCACCAUGUAGUCGUUGACCACAAAAGUUUCUCCUCAGAGAGAAAAAUUCGACAACCCGAAAAUAGGAAAAAACCAAGUAUUUCACUUCCCAAGCCG
RNAcentral lists this long non-coding RNA (618 nucleotides) under Cucumis sativus (cucumber). RNAcentral's name for it is "long non-coding RNA (CSAT_LNC000710)". Lineage: Eukaryota; Viridiplantae; Streptophyta; Magnoliopsida; Cucurbitales; Cucurbitaceae. The record is from RNAcentral.